RNAcentral lists this transfer RNA (74 nucleotides) under Planctomyces sp. RNAcentral describes it as "tRNA-Arg". It matches the Rfam family "tRNA". Rfam says of the family: Transfer RNA (tRNA) molecules are approximately 80 nucleotides in length. Their secondary structure includes four short double-helical elements and three loops (D, anti-codon, and T loops). Further hydrogen bonds mediate the characteristic L-shaped molecular structure. tRNAs have two regions of fundamental functional importance: the anti-codon, which is responsible for specific mRNA codon recognition, and the 3' end, to which the tRNAs corresponding amino acid is attached (by aminoacyl-tRNA synthetases). tRNAs cope with the degeneracy of the genetic code in two manners: having more than one tRNA (with a specific anti-codon) for a particular amino acid; and 'wobble' base-pairing, i.e. permitting non-standard base-pairing at the 3rd anti-codon position. Lineage: Bacteria; Pseudomonadati; Planctomycetota; Planctomycetia; Planctomycetales; Planctomycetaceae. The record is from RNAcentral. RNAcentral also lists the same sequence under 2 other names.
GCACCCGUAGCUCAAUUGGAUAGAGCACCGGUCUUCGGAACCGGGGGUUGGGGGUUCGAAUCCCUCCGGGUGUA